RNAcentral lists this ribosomal RNA (253 nucleotides) under uncultured bacterium. RNAcentral describes it as "partial 16S ribosomal RNA". It matches the Rfam family "Bacterial small subunit ribosomal RNA", at positions 524 to 776 of the family's 1533-position model. The record is from RNAcentral.
UACGAAGGGGGCUAGCGUUGCUCGGAAUCACUGGGCGUAAAGGGUGCGUAGGCGGGUCUUUAAGUCGGGGGUGAAAUCCUGGAGCUCAACUCCAGAACUGCCUUUGAUACUGAAGAUCUUGAGUUCGGGAGAGGUGAGUGGAACUGCGAGUGUAGAGGUGAAAUUCGUAGAUAUUCGCAAGAACACCAGUGGCGAAGGCGGCUCACUGGCCCGAUACUGACGCUGAGGCACGAAAGCGUGGUGAGCAAACAGG